CACUAUCAUCAUCGUCAUCACCCAUUUCAUCUCUUCCAUCAUUUCCUAUGUCACUUUCGCUUGCUGUUUCCCAUUCUGAAUCAUCACUGUCUUGGCCAUAAACAUCAACAGCAUCUCCCUCACAGUGAACCCCCCCAUGUUUGAUAGCUGCCUCUCUAAAUAACCAGGCUGCACGCAUCUGCUUCUUGACUAGGCGCUCAGCAUAGUCAGGAACUUUAUUCUGCCUCGAACAUAGAUCGGGAUCAUUUGAUUGAGAGCAUUCAUUAAUGAACAGAAUGGCAUCUAACAAGCUCUCUUUAGCUAAUCCCAGCAUGUCAUAAGCCUGAGCUCUUCUCCAAAGGCUUUUUGCAUGACGACUAAGAGGAUUGUGAAGACAAAGUGCACUUGUAGCAUCACUUAUAGCAGCCAAGGGUUGUUGUAAC
This 422-nucleotide unclassified non-coding RNA is filed under the name Hevea brasiliensis (rubber tree). Lineage: Eukaryota; Viridiplantae; Streptophyta; Magnoliopsida; Malpighiales; Euphorbiaceae. The record is from RNAcentral.